UCAGAUUGAACGCUGGCGGCAUGCCUUACACAUGCAAGUCGAACGGCAGCGCGGACUUCGGUCUGGCGGCGAGUGGCGAACGGGUGAGUAAUGUAUCGGAACGUGCCCUAGAGUGGGGGAUAACGUAGCGAAAGUUACGCUAAUACCGCAUACGAUCUAUGGAUGAAAGUGGGGGACCGUAAGGCCUCACGCUCAUGGAGCGGCCGAUAUCUGAUUAGCUAGUUGGUAGGGUAAAAGCCUACCAAGGCGACGAUCAGUAGCUGGUCUGAGAGGACGACCAGCCACACUGGGACUGAGACACGGCCCAGACUCCUACGGGAGGCAGCAGUGGGGAAUUUUGGACAAUGGGGGAAACCCUGAUCCAGCAAUGCCGCGUGUGUGAAGAAGGCCUUCGGGUUGUAAAGCACUUUUGUCAGGAACGAAACGGUGGGGGCUAAUAUCCUCUGCUAAUGACGGUACCUGAAGAAUAAGCACCGGCUAACUACGUGCCAGCAGCCGCGGUAAUACGUAGGGUGCGAGCGUUAAUCGGAAUUACUGGGCGUAAAGCGUGCGCAGGCGGUUGUGCAAGACAGAUGUGAAAUCCCCGGGCUUAACCUGGGAAUUGCAUUUGUGACUGCACGGCUAGAGUGUGUCAGAGGGGGGUAGAAUUCCACGUGUAGCAGUGAAAUGCGUAGAUAUGUGGAGGAAUACCGAUGGCGAAGGCAGCCCCC
RNAcentral lists this ribosomal RNA (710 nucleotides) under Pseudomonadota bacterium. Its description in RNAcentral is "bacterial SSU rRNA". It matches the Rfam family "Bacterial small subunit ribosomal RNA", at positions 24 to 729 of the family's 1533-position model. The record is from RNAcentral. Lineage: Bacteria; Pseudomonadati; Pseudomonadota.